UUGGUUAAGUUAGAAAGGGCGCACGGUGGAUGCCUUGGCACUAGGAGCCGAAGAAGGACGGGACUAACACCGAUAUGCUUUGGGGAGCUGUACGUAAGCGUUGAUCCAGAGAUUUCCGAAUGGGGGAACCCACUAUCUUUAGUCGGAUAGUAUCCUUACGUGAAUACAUAGCGUGAGGAAGGCAGACCCAGGGAACUGAAACAUCUAAGUACCUGGAGGAAGAGAAAGAAAAAUCGAUUUCCUGAGUAGCGGCGAGCGAAACGGAAAGAGCCCAAACCAAGAAGCUUGCUUCUUGGGGUUGUAGGACACUCUAUACGGAGUUACAAAAGAAAGUUAUAAAUGAAGCGGUCUGGAAAGGCCCGCCAAAGACGGUAACAGCCCGGUAGUUGAAAUGGCUUUCCCUCCAGAGUGGAUCCUGAGUACGGCGGAACACGUGAAAUUCCGUCGGAAUCCGGGAGGACCAUCUCCCAAGGCUAAAUACUCCCUAGUGACCGAUAGUGAACCAGUACCGUGAGGGAAAGGUGAAAAGCACCCCGGAAGGGGAGUGAAACAGUUCCUGAAACCGUGUGCCUACAAGUAGUUAGAGCCCGUUAAUGGGUGAUAGCGUGCCUUUUGUAGAAUGAACCGGCGAGUUACGAUUUGUUGCAAGGUUAAGCGGAAAAAGCGGAGCCGUAGCGAAAGCGAGUCUGAAUAGGGCGCAUAAGUAACAGGUCGUAGACCCGAAACCAGGUGAUCUACCCAUGUCCAGGAUGAAGGUAAGGUAAUACUUACUGGAGGUCCGAACCCACGCACGUUGAAAAGUGCGGGGAUGAGGUGUGGGUAGCGGAGAAAUUCCAAUCGAACUUGGAGAUAGCUGGUUCUCUCCGAAAUAGCUUUAGGGCUAGCCUCGAGGUAAAGAGUCAUGGAGGUAGAGCACUGUUUGGACUAGGGGCCCUUCUCGGGUUACCGAAUUCAGAUAAACUCCGAAUGCCAUGUACUUAUACUCGGGAGUCAGACUGCGAGUGAUAAGAUCCGUAGUCGAAAGGGAAACAGCCCAGACCACCAGUUAAGGUCCCCAAAUAUAUGUUAAGUGGAAAAGGAUGUGGGGUUGCUUAGACAACCAGGAUGUUGGCUUAGAAGCAGCCACCAUUGAAAGAGUGCGUAAUAGCUCACUGGUCGAGUGACCCCGCGCCGAAAAUGUACCGGGGCUAAACAUAUUACCGAAACUGUGGAUGAACCUCUUUAGAGGUUCGUGGUAGGAGAGCGUUCUAAGGGCGGUGAAGUCAGACCGGAAGGACUGGUGGAGCGCUUAGAAGUGAGAAUGCCGGUAUGAGUAGCGAAAGAAGGGUGAGAAUCCCUUCCACCGAAUAUCUAAGGUUUCCUGAGGAAGGCUCGUCCGCUCAGGGUUAGUCGGGACCUAAGCCGAGGCCGAUAGGCGUAGGCGAUGGACAACAGGUAGAGAUUCCUGUACCAGUGCUAAUUGUUUAACCGAUGGGGUGACACAGAAGGAUAGGGAAUCGCACGAAUGGAAAU
RNAcentral lists this ribosomal RNA (1512 nucleotides) under Listeria monocytogenes. Its description in RNAcentral is "partial 23S ribosomal RNA". It matches the Rfam family "Bacterial large subunit ribosomal RNA", at positions 1 to 1505 of the family's 2925-position model. Lineage: Bacteria; Bacillati; Bacillota; Bacilli; Caryophanales; Listeriaceae. The record is from RNAcentral.